This 327-nucleotide ribosomal RNA is filed under the name uncultured eukaryote. Its description in RNAcentral is "partial 18S ribosomal RNA". It matches the Rfam family "Eukaryotic small subunit ribosomal RNA", at positions 1470 to 1796 of the family's 1831-position model. The record is from RNAcentral.
CCCUUAGAUGUUCUGGGCCGCACGCGCGCUACACUGACGAAUGCAACGAGCUUAUAACCUUGGCCGAAAGGUCUGGGUAAUCUCCAAAUUUCGUCGUGAUGGGGAUAGAUUAUUGCAAUUAUUAAUCUUCAACGAGGAAUGCCUAGUAAGCGCAAGUCAUCAGCUUGCGUUGAUUACGUCCCUGCCCUUUGUACACACCGCCCGUCGCUCCUACCGAUUGAAUGGUCCGGUGAAGCGCUCGGACCACGGCCUCUUGACGGUUCGCUGUCGAUUGGCUGUGGGAAGUUCGUUAAACCUUAUCAUUUAGAGGAAGGAGAAGUCGUAACA